AGCCUGAUGCAGCGACGCCGCGUGGGGGAUGACGGUCUUCGGAUUGUAAACCCCUUUCAGUAGGGACGAAGCGCAAGUGACGGUACCUGCAGAAGAAGCACCGGCUAACUACGUGCCAGCAGCCGCGGUAAUACGUAGGGUGCGAGCGUUGUCCGGAAUUACUGGGCGUAAAGAGCUCGUAGGCGGUUUGUCACGUCGUCUGUGAAAUCCCUCGGCUUAACCGGGGGCGUGCAGGCGAUACGGGCAGACUUGAGUACUACAGGGGAGACUGGAAUUCCUGGUGUAGCGGUGAAAUGCGCAGAUAUCAGGAGGAACACCGGUGGCGAAGGCGGGUCUCUGGGUAGUAACUGACGCUGAGGAGCGAAAGCAUGGGUAGCGAACAGGAUUAGAUACCCUGGUAGUCCAUGCCGUAAACGGUGGGCGCUAGGUGUGGGGUCCUUCCACGGACUCCGUGCCGUAGCUAACGCAU
This 469-nucleotide ribosomal RNA is filed under the name Dietzia sp. COS1. RNAcentral describes it as "bacterial SSU rRNA". It matches the Rfam family "Bacterial small subunit ribosomal RNA", at positions 380 to 860 of the family's 1533-position model. The record is from RNAcentral. RNAcentral also lists the same sequence under 1 other name. Lineage: Bacteria; Bacillati; Actinomycetota; Actinomycetes; Mycobacteriales; Dietziaceae.